AAUAUUGGACAAUGGGGGGAACCCUGAUCCAGCCAUGCUGCGUGUGUGAAGAAGGUCUUCGGAUUGUAAAGCACUUUAAGUUGGGAGGAUGAGUUGUAGGCUAAUACCUUGCAAUUUUGACGUUACUAACAGAAUAAGCACUGACUAACUUCGUGCCAGCAGCCGCGGUAAUACGAAGGGUGCAAGCUUUAAUCGGAAUUACUGGGCGUAAAGCGCGCGUAGGUGGUUCGUUAAGUUGGAAGUGAAAGCCCCGGGCUUAACCUGGGAAUUGCUUUCAAUACUGACGAGCUAGAGUACGGUAGAAGGUAGUGGAAUUUCCUGUGUAGCGGUGAAAUGCGUAGAUAUAGGAAGGAACACCAGUGGCGAAGGCGACUACCUGGACUGAUACUGACACUGAGGUGCGAAAGCGUGGGGAGCAAACA
RNAcentral lists this ribosomal RNA (422 nucleotides) under uncultured bacterium. RNAcentral's name for it is "partial 16S ribosomal RNA". It matches the Rfam family "Bacterial small subunit ribosomal RNA", at positions 360 to 774 of the family's 1533-position model. The record is from RNAcentral.